UACGUAGGGCGCAAGCGUUAUCCGGAAUUAUUGGGCGUAAAGAGCUCGUAGGCGGUCUGUCGCGUCUGCUGUGAAAACCUGGGGCUUAACCCCGGGCCUGCAGUGGGUACGGGCAGACUAGAGUGUGGUAGGGGAGACUGGAAUUCCUGGUGUAGCGGUGAAAUGCGCAGAUAUCAGGAGGAACACCGGUGGCGAAGGCGGGUCUCUGGGCCAUAACUGACGCUGAGGAGCGAAAGCGUGGGGAGCGAACAGG
This 253-nucleotide ribosomal RNA is filed under the name uncultured bacterium. RNAcentral describes it as "partial 16S ribosomal RNA". It matches the Rfam family "Bacterial small subunit ribosomal RNA", at positions 524 to 776 of the family's 1533-position model. The record is from RNAcentral.